Molecule: long non-coding RNA, 614 nt
Filed under: Brassica napus (rape)
Lineage: Eukaryota; Viridiplantae; Streptophyta; Magnoliopsida; Brassicales; Brassicaceae
Description: long non-coding RNA (BNAP_LNC006354)
Source: RNAcentral
CUCUAAACCCUAAUGUUUGGAUUAAUUAACCCAAAAGGUAUAAGUGUAUAUUUACCUCUUUAAUGAAACCUAUUUUUGUGACUUUGGGCCUUGAAUGCUACUUUGGGAACAAAAACUUGGUUUGGUGCUAUCUUAGUCUUUUUCUCAAGAUAUAUGUAUAUAAUAAUAUCCUUUUAAAGAAAAUUUACAAGUUUCUCUUUAAACCAAACUCCAACAAGAUCAAGACCCUCUUGAUCUUGAUUUGUUACUGAUAUGCCAUGGAUUUUACUCACUUUUAUCCAUGAUUUAUAUAUGUUUUAGAGUCUUUUAUAUAUAUUUGGAGUCUUUUUAGAGACUUUACAUGUUCAGAUACUCAUUGGACAUAUUUGGAGCUUUUGGGAUCAUUUUGGAGCUUUGAAAGAAGCUCUGCGGAAAAUAUGAAGUCGGAGCCAACUAUUACAACAAACAUCGAUCGACGGAAGGCAUGAAGCGUCGGUCGACAUUUUACUCCGAGGGUUUAAUGAUGAUUUUGGGAAAUUAAAAGUUUUACCCAGAAGUUCCAAUAUAUUGCACCAUUGGUCCCUGGCAGCCUGUUAGACUAUUUAUAAUGGUUUUUCUGUUAUACUUAGACAGAC